RNAcentral lists this transfer RNA (62 nucleotides) under Ptiliidae sp. BMNH 1274723. RNAcentral's name for it is "tRNA-Arg". The record is from RNAcentral. Lineage: Eukaryota; Metazoa; Arthropoda; Insecta; Coleoptera; Ptiliidae.
UAGUAAGAAACAAUUAAUUGUAUUUAGUUUCGACCUAAAAUUUUGGAUUAUUCCCUUACUAU